GCGGCAGGCUUCAUACAUGCAAGUCGAGGGGCAGCAUAAAUUACUUGUAAUUUGAUGGCGACCGGCGAACGGGUGCGUAACGCGUAUGCAACUUACCUUUUACUAGAGAAUAGCCAAGAGAAAUUUUGAUUAAUGCUCUAUACACUUAUUAAUUCUCAUGAAUCUAUAAGAAAAGCUCCGGCGGUAAAAGAUGGGCAUGCGUCCUAUUAGCUUGUAGGUGAGGUAACGGCUCACCUAAGCUCCGAUAGGUAGGGGUCCUGAGAGGGAGAUCCCCCACACUGGUACUGAGACACGGACCAGACUUCUACGGAAGGCAGCAGUAAGGAAUAUUGGACAAUGGAGGCAACUCUGAUCCAGCCAUGCCGCGUGAAGGAAGACGGCCUUAUGGGUUGUAAACUUCUUUUAUACAGGAAGAAACCUUUCCACGUGUGGAAAGCUGACGGUACUGUAAGAAUAAGGAUCGGCUAACUCCGUGCCAGCAGCCGCGGUAAUACGGAGGAUCCAAGCGUUAUCCGGAAUUAUUGGGUUUAAAGGGUCCGCAGGCUGUUUGUUAAGUCAGAGGUGAAAUCCUACCGCUCAACGGUAGAACUGCCUUUGAUACUGGCAAACUUGAGUUAUUGUGAAGUAGUUAGAAUGUGUAGUGUAGCGGUGAAAUGCAUAGAUAUUACACAGAAUACCGAUUGCGAAAGCAGAUUACUAACAAUAUACUGACGCUGAGGGACGAAAGCGUGGGUAGCGAACAGGAUUAGAUACCCUGGUAGUCCACGCCGUAAACGAUGGUCACUAGCUGUUUGAUGUACAUUGGUACAUUGAGUGGCUAAGCGAAAGUGAUAAGUGACCCACCUGGGGAG
Molecule: ribosomal RNA, 851 nt
Filed under: uncultured Flavobacteriaceae bacterium
Lineage: Bacteria; Pseudomonadati; Bacteroidota; Flavobacteriia; Flavobacteriales; Flavobacteriaceae
Description: bacterial SSU rRNA
Rfam family: Bacterial small subunit ribosomal RNA
Source: RNAcentral